AACGGUAGAGGCGCGGUGCUUAUCAGUAGGAGUCGUUUUAAUGCAGGGGGCUGCGGACGGCAUCGAAAGGAAAUACCGCCGAAAUACACGGUCUGCCCUAUGGGCUGUGUGUUGGGCUGCAGGAGAAUAUUUUGCAGACUGUCACGUCCUUAAAGUGAAGCGCUAUCUA
This 169-nucleotide non-coding RNA is filed under the name human gut metagenome. RNAcentral's name for it is "Lysine riboswitch". It matches the Rfam family "Lysine riboswitch aptamer". Rfam says of the family: Riboswitches are metabolite binding domains within certain messenger RNAs that serve as precision sensors for their corresponding targets. Allosteric rearrangement of mRNA structure is mediated by ligand binding, and this results in modulation of gene expression. The record is from RNAcentral.